Molecule: ribosomal RNA, 301 nt
Filed under: uncultured bacterium
Lineage: Bacteria
Description: partial 16S ribosomal RNA
Rfam family: Bacterial small subunit ribosomal RNA
Source: RNAcentral
CAGCCGCCGCGGUAAUACAGAGGGUGCGAGCGUUAAUCGGAUUUACUGGGCGUAAAGCGUGCGCAGGCGGUUUUGUAAGACAGAGGUGAAAUCCCCGGGCUCAACCUGGGAACUGCAUUUGUGACUGUAUAGCUAGAGUACGGCAGAGGGGGAUGGAAUUCCGCGUGUAGCAGUGAAAUGCGUAGAUAUGCGGAGGAACACCGAUGGCGAAGGCAAUCCCCUGGGCCUGUACUGACGCUCAUGCACGAAAGCGUGGGGAGCAAACAGGAUUAGAUACCCCCGUAGUCCCUGUCUCUUAUAA